AUUAGGUGGUUUAAGCGUGUAGUCGUGCCGCGUAGGCAAAUCCGCGUGGCUAAGAUGAGGCGUGAUGACGAGGAUCCUCGGAUCCGAAGCGAGUGAUACCCAGCUUCCAGGAAAAGCCUCUAAGCUUCAGUCUAAGAGUGACCGUACCGCAAACCGACACAGGUGGGCUGGUAGAGAAUACCAAGGCGCUUGAGAGAACUCAGGAGAAGGAACUCGGCAAAUUGAUACCGUAACUUCGGGAGAAGGUAUGCCCCUGGUACGUGAAGGCCCUCGCGGCCGGAGCGGAACGGGGUCGCAGAGAAUCGGUGGCUGCGACUGUUUAUUAAAAACACAGCACUCUGCAAACACGAAAGUGGACGUAUAGGGUGUGACGCCUGCCCGGUGCCGGAAGGUUAAGUAUGGGGUGCAAGCUCUUGAUCGAAGCCCCGGUAAACGGCGGCCGUAACUAUAACGGUCCUAAGGUAGCGAAAUUCCUUGUCGGGUAAGUUCCGACCUGCACGAAUGGCGUAACGAUGGCCACACUGUCUCCUCCUGAGACUCAGCGAAGUUGAAAUGUUUGUGAAGAUGCAAUCUCCCCGCGGCUAGACGGAAAGACCCCAUGAACCUUUACUGUAGCUUUGCAUUGGACUUUGACGGGACUUGUGUAGGAUAGGUGGGAGGCUAUGAAACCGGGACGCCAGUUCCGGCGGAGCCACCCUUGAAAUACCACCCUGGUGUCGUCGAGGUUCUAACCCAGGCCUGUGAAUCCAGGUCGGGGACCGUGCAUGGUGGGCAGUUUGACUGGGGCGGUCUCCUCCCAAAAGGUAACGGAGGAGUACGAAGGUCGCCUAGGUACGGUCGGACAUCGUACUGAUAGUGCAAUGGCAAAAGGUGGCUUGACUGCGAGACCCACAAGUCGAGCAGGUGCGAAAGCAGGUCAUAGUGAUCCGGUGGUUCUGUAUGGAAGGGCCAUCGCUCAACGGAUAAAAGGUACUCUGGGGAUAACAGGCUGAUUCCGCCCAAGAGUUCACAUCGACGGCGGAGUUUGGCACCUCGAUGUCGGCUCAUCACAUCCUGGGGCUGUAGCCGGUCCCAAGGGUAUGGCUGUUCGCCAUUUAAAGUGGUACGUGAGCUGGGUUUAAAACGUCGUGAGACAGUUUGGUCCCUAUCUGCCGUGGGCGCUGGAAGUUUGAGAGGGCCUGCUCCUAGUACGAGAGGACCGGAGUGGACGCACCCCUGGUGUACCGGUUGUGACGCCAGUCGCAUCGCCGGGUAGCUAUGUGCGGAAGAGAUAACCGCUGAAAGCAUCUAAGCGGGAAACUCGCCUCAAGAUGAGACUUCCCCGGGGCCUCGAGCCCCCUGAAGGGUCGUUGAAGACCACAACGUUGAUAGGCCGGGUGUGUAAGCGUGGCAACACGUUCAGCUAACCGGUACUAAUUGCCCGUGUGGCUUGAUCCC
RNAcentral lists this ribosomal RNA (1437 nucleotides) under metagenome. RNAcentral's name for it is "bacterial LSU rRNA". It matches the Rfam family "Bacterial large subunit ribosomal RNA", at positions 1502 to 2925 of the family's 2925-position model. The record is from RNAcentral.